GGACGGGUGAGUAACACGUGGAUAACCUACCUAUAAGACUGGGAUAACUUCGGGAAACCGGAGCUAAUACCGGAUAAUAUAUUGAACCGCAUGGUUCAAUAGUGAAAGACGGUCUUGCUGUCACUUAUAGAUGGAUCCGCGCCGCAUUAGCUAGUUGGUAAGGUAACGGCUUACCAAGGCAACGAUGCGUAGCCGACCUGAGAGGGUGAUCGGCCACACUGGAACUGAGACACGGUCCAG
RNAcentral lists this ribosomal RNA (240 nucleotides) under uncultured Staphylococcus sp. RNAcentral's name for it is "partial 16S ribosomal RNA". It matches the Rfam family "Bacterial small subunit ribosomal RNA", at positions 100 to 334 of the family's 1533-position model. The record is from RNAcentral. Lineage: Bacteria; Bacillati; Bacillota; Bacilli; Caryophanales; Staphylococcaceae.